UUUACCUUGUUGCUUCGGCGGGCCCGCCUUAACUGGCCGCCGGGGGGCUUACGCCCCCGGGCCCGCGCCCGCCGAAGACACCCUCGAACUCUGUCUGAAGAUUGUAGUCUGAGUGAAAAUAUAAAUUAUUUAAAACUUUCAACAACGGAUCUCUUGGUUCCGGCAUCGAUGAAGAACGCAGCGAAAUGCGAUACGUAAUGUGAAUUGCAAAUUCAGUGAAUCAUCGAGUCUUUGAACGCACAUUGCGCCCCCUGGUAUUCCGGGGGGCAUGCCUGUCCGAGCGUCAUUGCUGCCCUCAAGCACGGCUUGUGUGUUGGGCCCCGUCCUCCGAUCCCGGGGGACGGGCCCGAAAGGCAGCGGCGGCACCGCGUCCGGUCCUCGAGCGUAUGGGGCUUUGUCACCCGCUCUGUAGGCCCGGCCGGCGCUUGCCGAUCAACCCAAAUUUUUAUCCAGGUUGACCUCGGAUCAGGUAGGGAUACCCGCUGAACUUAAGCAUAUCAA
RNAcentral lists this ribosomal RNA (501 nucleotides) under Penicillium sp. P1_4_Fu. RNAcentral's name for it is "eukaryotic LSU rRNA". The stretch from base 134 to 286 matches the Rfam family "5.8S ribosomal RNA". The record is from RNAcentral. Lineage: Eukaryota; Fungi; Ascomycota; Eurotiomycetes; Eurotiales; Aspergillaceae.